AUCCACAACGUAUCGGAUACUGGGCGUAAGCGUGCGCAGGCGGCUUGAAAAGUCAGAUGUGAAAUCCCUGGGCUCAACCUAGGAACUGCGUUUGAAACUCUCAAGCUAGAAUAUGUCAGAGGGGGGUAGAAUUCCACGUGUAGCAGUGAAAUGCGUAGAGAUGUGGAGGAAUACCAAUGGCGAAGGCAGCCCCCUGGGAUAAUAUUGACGCUCAUGCACGAAAGCGUGGGGAGCAGACAGGAUUAGAUACCCUGGUAGUCCACGCCCUAAACGAUGUCUACUAGUUGUUGGUGGAGUAUAAUCCAUGAGUAACGCAGCUAACGCGUGAAGUAGACCGCCUGGGGAGUACGGUCGCAAGAUUAAAACUCAAAUGAAUUGACGGGGGCCCGCACAAGCGGUGGAUUAUGUGGAUUAAUUCGAUGCAACGCGAAAAACCUUACCUGGCCUUGACAUGUAACGAACUUUCCAGAGGUGGAUUGGUGCUCGAAAGAGAACGUUAACACAGGUGCUGCAUGGCUGUCGUCAGCUCGUGUCGUGAGAUGUUGGGUUAAGUCCCGCAACGAGCGCAACCCUUGCCAUUAAUUGCCAUCAUUUAGUUGGGCACUUUAAUGGGACUGCCGGUGACAAACCGGAGGAAGGUGGGGAUGACGUCAAGUCCUCAUGGCCCUUAUGGCCAGGGCUUCACACGUAAUACAAUGGUCGGUACAGAGGGUUGCCAACCCGCGAGGGGGAGCCAAUCCCAGAAAGCCGAUCGUAGUCCGGAUUGUAGUCUGCAACUCGACUACAUGAAGUCGGAAUCGCUAGUAAUCGCGGAUCAGCAUGUCGCGGUGAAUACGUUCCCGGGCCUUGUACACACCGCCCGUCACACCAUGGGAGUGGGUUUUACCAGAAGUAGGUAGUCUAACCGCAAGGGGGACGCUUACCACGGUAGUAUUCGUGACUGGGGUG
Molecule: ribosomal RNA, 948 nt
Filed under: uncultured bacterium
Lineage: Bacteria
Description: bacterial SSU rRNA
Rfam family: Bacterial small subunit ribosomal RNA
Source: RNAcentral